This 484-nucleotide ribosomal RNA is filed under the name uncultured bacterium. RNAcentral's name for it is "partial 16S ribosomal RNA". It matches the Rfam family "Bacterial small subunit ribosomal RNA", at positions 30 to 507 of the family's 1533-position model. The record is from RNAcentral.
AUUGAACGCUGGCGGCAGGCCUAACACAUGCAAGUCGAGCGGAAGAAGGGAGCUUGCUCCUGGAUUCAGCGGCGGACGGGUGAGUAAUGCCUAGGAAUCUGCCUGUUAGUGGGGGAUAACGUCCGGAAACGGGCGCUAAUACCGCAUACGUCCUGAGGGAGAAAGGGGGGGAGCUUCGGACCUCACGCUAUCAGAUGAGCCUAGGUCGGAUUAGCUAGUUGGUGGGGUAAAGGCCUACCAAGGCGACGAUCCGUAACUGGUCUGAGAGGAUGAUCAGUCACACUGGAACUGAGACACGGUCCAGACUCCUACGGGAGGCAGCAGUGGGGAAUAUUGGACAAUGGGCGAAAGCCUGAUCCAGCCAUGCCGCGUGUGUGAAGAAGGUCUUCGGAUUGUAAAGCACUUUAAGUUGGGAGGAAGGGCAGUAAGUUAAUACCUUGCUGUUUUGACGUUACCAACAGAAUAAGCACCGGCUAACUUCGUG